AUUGAACGCUGGCGGCAUGCCUUACACAUGCAAGUCGAACGGCAGCACGGGAGCAAUCCUGGUGGCGAGUGGCGAACGGGUGAGUAAUAUAUCGGAACGUGCCCAGUGAUGGGGGAUAGCCCGGCGAAAGCCGGAUUAAUACCGCAUACGACCUACGGGUGAAAGCAGGGGAUCGCAAGACCUUGCGUCAUUGGAGCGGCCGAUAUCAGAUUAGCUUGNGGUGGGGUAAAAGCCUACCAAGGCGACGAUCUGUAGCUGGUCUGAGAGGACGACCAGCCACACUGGGACUGAGACACGGCCCAGACUCCUACGGGAGGCAGCAGUGGGGAAUUUUGGACAAUGGGCGCAAGCCUGAUCCAGCCAUGCCGCGUGCGGGAAGAAGGCCUCGG
Molecule: ribosomal RNA, 389 nt
Filed under: uncultured bacterium
Lineage: Bacteria
Description: bacterial SSU rRNA
Rfam family: Bacterial small subunit ribosomal RNA
Source: RNAcentral